GGUUGGAUAAUGUCACAUGCUCAGGCAGCGAAUCACAGCUCUCUGAGUGCCAUCACUCAGUGUUUGGAUCCCACAACUGCAGCCACCAUGAGGAUGCUGGUGUCAUCUGUGAAGGCUCUCACCCAGAUUUCUCCCUGCUUUUGGUUGUUGUAAUUGUGGUCAUGGUAGUACUGAUGCUGCUUUCUGUUCUGAUGUUGAUCUACAAAAGGAGGACCGAGAGCUCCGUUGAUUUGGACAGAAGGAGAAACUCAGACCACAACCAGACUGAGAUUGCCCUCUAUGAAAAUUUUUGUCCAGUCUCCAGAUGUGAAGAUUCAAUCUACCAGAGCCUCGAUCUUGCCAGCAGUGACCAAGACCAAACCUACUGCAGUCUCACGCACUCAAAAUAGCCCGUUUUCAGACAUGCAUUCAGAUCAUGUCAUAUGACACAUAAAAGGCUUAUUUUUAUGUCAGUGCACACAAAGUCUGAAGCCGAAAGCUUGGCUUAACAGAGGAAGUUGAUAAUGUGAUACCUGUUAUCUCCAACUGAGGUUUUAGUUUUCAUCGAGCCAGCUAAUUCAAAGAAGGCCUGUCUGUGUUCAUAGUGUACCCCUCUGGUCAGACAAAGCUAUACACACACUUAACCUAUUGGUAUAUUUGAAGGAUUUUGCUCAUUAUCAGUUUAAAAGAUGUUGGCUAUUUUUUUAAAGUCAGUGUUUACCUUUGUACCUUUUAAUGUGCCUGAUGUAGUGAGUUUUUCUUGUUC
Oreochromis aureus is the source of this 745-nucleotide long non-coding RNA. NCBI's taxonomy places the organism in Eukaryota, Metazoa, Chordata, Actinopteri, Cichliformes, Cichlidae. The record is from Ensembl.